This 468-nucleotide ribosomal RNA is filed under the name uncultured bacterium. RNAcentral describes it as "partial 16S ribosomal RNA". It matches the Rfam family "Bacterial small subunit ribosomal RNA", at positions 28 to 507 of the family's 1533-position model. The record is from RNAcentral.
GACGAACGCUGGCGGCGUGCUUAACACAUGCAAGUCGAACGGAAAGGCCCUGCUUUUGUGGGGUGCUCGAGUGGCGAACGGGUGAGUAACACGUGAGUAACCUGCCCUUGACUUUGGGAUAACUUCAGGAAACUGGGGCUAAUACCGGAUAGGAGCUCCUGCUGCAUGGUGGGGGUUGGAAAGUUUCGGCGGUUGGGGAUGGACUCGCGGCUUAUCAGCUUGUUGGUGGGGUAGUGGCUUACCAAGGCUUUGACGGGUAGCCGGCCUGGGAGGGUGACCGGCCACCUUGGGCCUGAGAGACGGCCCAGACUCCUACGGGAGGCAGCAGUGGCGAAUAUUGCCCAAUGGGCGGGAGCCUGAUGCAGCAACGCCGCGUGCGGGAUGACGGCCUUCGGGUUGUAAACCGCUUUCGCCUGUGACGAAGCGUGAGUGACGGUAAUGGGUAAAGAAGCACCGGCUAACUACGUG